GACGAACGCUGGCGGCGUGCUUAACACAUGCAAGUCGAACGGAAAGGCCCUGCUUUUGUGGGGUGCUCGAGUGGCGAACGGGUGAGUAACACGUGAGUAACCUGCCCUUGACUUUGGGAUAACUUCAGGAAACUGGGGCUAAUACCGGAUAGGAGCUCCUGCUGCAUGGUGGGGGUUGGAAAGUUUCGGCGGUUGGGGAUGGACUCGCGGCUUAUCAGCUUGUUGGUGGGGUAGUGGCUUACCAAGGCUUGGACGGGUAGCCGGCCUGAGAGGGUGACCGGGCAACAGGGGGAGUGAGAUACGGCAAGGCCUCGGCGGGGAGAAAGGAGGGGGAAGUGGGGAGAAGUGGCGGAGCGAUGAAUGACGCACCGCCGGGUGGGGAAGAGGGCUGUGCGGUUGGAAAACGGCUUUCGCCGGGAAGAAGGGGGGGGGGAGGUAAAUGGUAAAAGAACCCCGGGCUACCUACUU
Molecule: ribosomal RNA, 468 nt
Filed under: uncultured bacterium
Lineage: Bacteria
Description: partial 16S ribosomal RNA
Rfam family: Bacterial small subunit ribosomal RNA
Source: RNAcentral